UUUCCUGUUCUAUAGACUUCUUAACUUCUCCGUUCCUAUUUUCCCCAUCCAUCUCCUCCGAUCCCCUUUCUCUUUUCCUAAAUCUUGCUUCUCACUCAAAAAUUGCUGCUGCUGGAUAUCUCCCAUCAGCUUUCUUUGCUGAUUCACUUCAUGGAGGUUUAUCUUCCUCACCUGGAGCCACCCCCGCAGCUGGUUAUGGCACACAUGUUCAGCAUGGACGGCGGCUUGUCUCUGUCCUGCCCUCUUGCAUCUAGCUUGAGUAUGAGAUUGCUGGCUACAUUUUCUUUCACAAUUGCGCAAAGCAGACACAUCGUUUCUAUUUCUGCUCGAGGUAGCCCGGCACAUCACCCUCAUCCUUCACAGCGGUAACAUUCUUCAAAGCUCGACCUGAAGGUCCCUAUUUUUCCUUUUCCGACUGUAAUUUAUCCCCUUUUUCUUAUCCUUUUCCUAUGGUUGUGCGGUUGAACCAAUAUAAUGUAAUCAACGAAAUGACUUUUAGUGGUAAACAUUUCAUAUUUUUUCUUUCUAAUCUCGGAAAAACAUUUGAUUUUUUUUGUAAGUGGUCUAGUACAUAGUAGCUAGUAAUUAGUUCGUGAAAAUUUUAAAAUGUAAUUAUAUGUAUGAGCAGACAUACCAAUCAAAAUUAGUACUAUAUCGGUAAUUAAUUUAUAUUAAUCCAAAUUAGAACACAGAAUGGAACUUUGUGUUUAUCUUAAAAACAAUACAAGAAAGUAUGUACUUUUGACCUCACUGUUAGAUUUGUUUCUUUUCACAACUCUUCGCGGUUUCUUGUCGGUAGUCCUUUUGACAUGUGUAUAGUUUUGUUCGCAAUCUUUAUCUGAAUCAUCCUCUAUGGUAAUUAUAUCUGAACCUGUAGCUCAAAUGUUUCUUUGCGCACAUCCUGUCAAUCUGCGCAAUGGAGGAGGUGAGCUUGUCGAUCUUGACAGUAUCGUUGUCGUCGUCGUCCUUGGAGGCGAUAUGGGCAUGGAUCUUGUCUGCUACAGCGAGCUUGGAUCCACAUCGCAUCGUGGCUGUCCCCGAGCAAGACAGCCCAGCAGGUCGCCUUGAUCCUCGAUAGAGGUAGCCUGAUUUCGGCGACUCAUUCUUCCACCUGUAUGUCCCCACUUCUCCAUUUUCAUGCAUUUAUCAUAAUUUUUCUUGGUUCUUAUCAUUUCUCUUCAUGUGUACGGCUAAACUAAUAUAAUGUGCAUUAAGGUACAACUUGUUACUGAAAGAUGUAAAUUUAUCUAUGCCCCUCCACUUUUUUCCGUACAUUGGACCGGCAUCGACAAUGUCAGGCCCCCCUGCCCCAUUUCAUUUGUAGACUUAAUAUGUAAUUUAAUUAAUUUGUGCUUUGCUAUAAUUUUACAAUUUCCCAAAGAUAGAAUUAUUUUCAGUAAGUGAAUAUGAAAAUAGGUGCUAUUACAUUUUACAUAUUAACUAUAACAAUCCGUGGAUGCUGUAACUAUUGUCAUGUUCAGUAGAAUAAGUUUCAAAUAUCAAAAUAUAUAUAGCAUUGGCAAUUGGUAUUAUUGGGCUAUUUCCAUCGAAUGUUGAUGCAUCUUUCCAAUAAUUCUGGGAGCAUUACAUCAUAUCUGUCGUCAUAUCAUGUUAGCAUAGAAAAAUCAGUUUAGUUCCAUCUUCUUAUGGUUAUGUUCCGUCAGAUCAUGUUAGCAUAGAAAAAAUAGUUUUGUUCCAUCUACUUAUGGGCUUUAUGGCUAUCUAAAAAGGCUAGUAGCAUCUGUAAGUGUAUUUUUAGUUCCUACCUUCAGUAUAUUUCUGUGUAGGCUAUGUUCUUGACCACAUCAUCCUCGCUGUUGGUUUAUUUGCUAUAGAAAAGAAAAUAACAUGUGUGAUCAAGUCGGUACGGCAUUACUUGCGAGUGUGUUUCCAAAUAUUCCCUUUCUCUUACAUUUCUCAUGAACUCUUUGAGCUUUAUGUAGAUCACCCGGUCAACAAUACCAGGUCUUUAUGAUGCUGCUAUGCCUACUUUCUGUAGCAAAGAUUGAAUGUGACAAAUAGGUCUGUGUAUCCAGCCCACCUACAUAUUGCCAUAGCAUCUUAGUAGUCUUAUGCUUUGAAUCUUGGGCUAUCUGUGAAGCUGGAUGGUGCACGACAAUAGUAUUGUCCUUCAUACCUAGGCAGCCCUUGUAUCUUCUCUGUCUAUUGUGUCUUGCAAGCAAGCAUAUAAUUGUGUUCUUAGGUUUCCUUUAUGUCUUUUGAUGCAGUCUAUUUGUACUGCACUACUGCAAAAUGCAUACAAAGGCAUCCAUAUUGAACUAUAAUAAGCUUUUCACACACCAGUAAGUGUUUACAUGCUUUCUCUUGCAUUUUGCACCUUCUUCUAUUGUGUAAUGUAUAUUUCCUCUGUACCCAUCUUCUCCUAGGGGAAUAACAAUCGAUACUGCACAUCCAUGUAUUUUGGAUGGUUCUCCGAUAUUCUUCUUGGUCUCAUGUCUUUGUACUGAACAAUGAUAUCAUGUCCUUUUCCAUUCUCUAUUGUAUCAUUCACAAUCAACGCUGCUACUUCAGUUGCAGAUGGCAUGUCAUGUCGUGUUAAUCUCACGUCGUGAUAGUUCAAGGCCGCUACUUCACUUGCAGAUGGCAUGUCAUGUCGUGUUAAUCUCACGUGGAUAGUCACCUUCCUCGAAUUUAUCCCUUGCCAUUCUGAGUGUUUUUGCUAGUCUAUUAUCUUUAUCCAAUAUAUUUUUCAGGCCAUCGACAAUGUGAGGAUCUAUUGACUCCCUUUUACCUUCUGAUGUUGACGUGUCAAUCCUGAUUCUUACCUCAUUUGUAGUGGCAUAGGUGUGCAGCUGCGCUGUGUGUGGUUUAUCUUUACCUUAAGGUAGUAGAGUACCUAUCUGUGAUAUUUUUGGCCAUUCAUUCCAAAUACAUAAGGCCCGGGACCAUUUUUUAUUUCUGUGUCUACCUUUCCUCCCAUUGAUGUAAAGUGAACAUGGAGUCGUCGAAUCUGAUAUUGUGCAUGUAGUUUUUCCACCUCUUUAUGAACUUAAAAGCAUUUGAUUGUGUUGUCACACCUUGAAUUGAACACAUGCAUUAUACUCCUGAUUCUGUUCUUGAUGUUAAGAAAGAUUGAACUCUAAGAAUAAGAUCAGAUUGCAAUUGAGGAUGAGAAGUUGAUGUACAAUAAUGACUGAAAAUCCACAAGGGGAACUUAGGACAAGUUUAAAAAGCUAUUUGACAUGAAUGAAAAGCUCUUUGAUUGUGUUGUCGUACCUUGAAUUGAAGACAUAAGUUGUACUGUCGUUUCUGCUCUUACUUUUAAGAAAAGAUUAAACUUUAUGUCAGUUCUAUAUGGCCUCUGCAGAUGGUCUAGCGGCUGGAGGUGAUCUGCUCACCUGAUGGAACCAACGGCACACAGUCGAGGAGAUUGGGGCACUCGCUCAUGAGUGUUCUUUUUUAGGGAAAACCUGAUGGAGCCGAUGGCACAAUUGAGGAGUUUGGGGCCCUCGCUCGUGGGAGUUCUUUUUUAGGGAAAGCCAUCAUGGCGAUGUAUAUUGAUUUGGAAUAACAGUAAUUAUCCGUAAGAACAUCAAGUAAAAAAGUUAGGGUGGCAUGUGAUGCUAUGAGUCGAACCUAUGGUGAGUUUUGUUUAUGAGAUUGUGAGAUUUGUGUAAAGAAUAUGGGACAGAUCAAAA
This is a long non-coding RNA of Triticum aestivum (bread wheat), 3659 nucleotides long. RefSeq lists it as uncharacterized. The transcript has 2 exons. The record is from RefSeq and is a predicted model, not a curated record. Lineage: Eukaryota; Viridiplantae; Streptophyta; Magnoliopsida; Poales; Poaceae.